UGUUGUAUUGUUGUUGUUUGAUGCAUAUCGUGCGGUAACAGAAAGAAAGCUUGCUUUCUUUGCUGACGAGCGGCGGACGGGUGAGUAAUGCCUAGGGAACUGCCCAGUCGAGGGGGAUAACAGUUGGAAACGACUGCUAAUACCGCAUACGCCCUACGGGGGAAAGGAGGGGCUCUUCGGACCUUUCGCGAUUGGAUGUACCUAGGUGGGAUUAGCUUGUUGGUGAGGUAAGAGCUCACCAAGGCGACGAUCCCUAGCUGUUCUGAGAGGAUGAUCAGCCACACUGGGACUGAGACACGGCCCAGACUCCUACGGGAGGCAGCAGUGGGGAAUAUUGCACAAUGGGCGAAAGCCUGAUGCAGCCAUGCCGCGUGUGUGAAGAAGGCCUUCGGGUUGUAAAGCACUUUCAGCGAGGAGGAAAGGUUAACGGUUAAUACCCGUUAGCUGUGACGUUACUCGCAGAAGAAGCACCGGCUAACUUCGUGCCAGCAGCCGCGGUAAUACGAGGGGUGCAAGCGUUAAUCGGAAUUACUGGGCGUAAAGCGUACGCAGGCGGUUUGUUAAGCGAGAUGUGAAAGCCCCGGGCUCAACCUGGGAACUGCAUUUCGAACUGGCAAACUAGAGUCUUGUAGAGGGGGGUAGAAUUUCAGGUGUAGCGG
Molecule: ribosomal RNA, 659 nt
Filed under: Shewanella sp. MR06-60
Lineage: Bacteria; Pseudomonadati; Pseudomonadota; Gammaproteobacteria; Alteromonadales; Shewanellaceae
Description: bacterial SSU rRNA
Rfam family: Bacterial small subunit ribosomal RNA
Source: RNAcentral